UAUUGCACAAUGGGGGAAACCCUGAUGCAGCGACGCCGCGCGAGUGAAGAAGUAUUUCGGUAUGUAAAGCUCUAUCAGCAGGGAAGAAAAUGAUGGCACCUGACUAAGAAGCAACGGCUAACUACGUGCAAGAAGCCGCGGUAAUACGGAGGGGGCAAGCGUUAUCCGGAUUUACUGGGUGUAAAGGGAGCGUAGGUGGCAUGGUAAGCCAGAAGUGAAAACCCAGGGCUCAACUCUGCGGAUUGCUUUUGGAACUAUCAAGCUAGAGUGCUGGAGGGGUAAGCGGAAUUCCUAGUGUAGCGGUGAAAUGCGUAGAUAUUAGGAGGAACACCGGUGGCGAAGGCGGCUUACUGGACAGAAACUGACACUGAGGCUCGAAAGCGUGGGGAGCAAACAGG
RNAcentral lists this ribosomal RNA (398 nucleotides) under uncultured bacterium. RNAcentral's name for it is "bacterial SSU rRNA". It matches the Rfam family "Bacterial small subunit ribosomal RNA", at positions 362 to 776 of the family's 1533-position model. The record is from RNAcentral.